UACGUUGAAAAGUGAGCGGAUGAACUGUGGGUAGCGGAGAAAUUCCAAUCGAACUUGGAGAUAGCUGGUUCUCUCCGAAAUAGCUUUAGGGCUAGCCUCAAGUGAUGAUUAUUGGAGGUAGAGCACUGUUUGGACGAGGGGCCCCUCUCGGGUUACCGAAUUCAGACAAACUCCGAAUGCCAAUUAAUUUAACUUGGGAGUCAGAACAUGGGUGAUAAGGUCCGUGUUCGAAAGGGAAACAGCCCAGACCACCAGCUAAGGUCCCAAAAUAUAUGUUAAGUGGAAAAGGAUGUGGCGUUGCCCAGACAACUAGGAUGUUGGCUUAGAAGCAGCCAUCAUUUAAAGAGUGCGUAAUAGCUCACUAGUCGAGUGACACUGCGCCGAAAAUGUACCGGGGCUAAACAUAUUACCGAAGCUGUGGAUUGUCCUUUGGACAAUGGUAGGAGAGCGUUCUAAGGGCGUUGAAGCAUGAUCGCAAGGACAUGUGGAGCGCUUAGAAGUGAGAAUGCCGGUGUGAGUAGCGAAAGACGGGUGAGAAUCCCGUCCACCGAUUGACUAAGGUUUCCAGAGGAAGGCUCGUCCGCUCUGGGUUAGUCGGGUCCUAAGCUGAGGCCGACAGGCGUAGGCGAUGGAUAACAGGUUGAUAUUCCUGUACCACCUAUAAUCGUUUUAAUCGAUGGGGGGACGCAGUAGGAUAGGCGAAGCGUACGAUUGGAUUGUACGUCUAAGCAGUGAGAUUGAGUGUUAGGCAAAUCCGGCACUCUUAAGAUUGAGCUGUGAUGGGGAGAGGAAAUUGUUUCCUCGAGUCGUUGAUUUCACACUGCCGAGAAAAGCCUCUAGAUAGAGAUUAGGUGCCCGUACCGCAAACCGACACAGGUAGUCAAGAUGAGAAUUCUAAGGUGAGCGAGCGAACUCUCGUUAAGGAACUCGGCAAAAUGACCCCGUAACUUCGGGAGAAGGGGUGCUCUUUAGGGUGCAAGCCCAGAAGAGCCGCAGUGAAUAGGCCCAAGCGACUGUUUAUCAAAAACACAGGUCUCUGCUAAACCGUAAGGUGAUGUAUAGGGGCUGACGCCUGCCCGGUGCUGGAAGGUUAAGAGGAGUGGUUAGCUUCUGCGAAGCUACGAAUCGAAGCCCCAGUAAACGGCGGCCGUAACUAUAACGGUCCUAAGGUAGCGAAAUUCCUUGUCGGGUAAGUUCCGACCCGCACGAAAGGCGUA
This 1217-nucleotide ribosomal RNA is filed under the name human vaginal metagenome. Its description in RNAcentral is "bacterial LSU rRNA". It matches the Rfam family "Bacterial large subunit ribosomal RNA", at positions 785 to 2003 of the family's 2925-position model. The record is from RNAcentral.